RNAcentral lists this ribosomal RNA (465 nucleotides) under uncultured bacterium. RNAcentral describes it as "bacterial SSU rRNA". It matches the Rfam family "Bacterial small subunit ribosomal RNA", at positions 338 to 795 of the family's 1533-position model. The record is from RNAcentral.
CCUACGGGUUGCAGCAGUGGGGAAUAUUGCACAAUGGGCGCAAGCCUGAUGCAGCCAUGCCGCGUGUAUGAAGAAGGCCUUCGGGUUGUAAAGUACUUUCAGCGGGGAGGAAGGUGUUGUGGUUAAUAACCACAGCAAUUGACGUCACCCGCAGAAGAAGCACCGGCUAACUCCGUGCCAGCAGCCGCGGUAAUACGGAGGGUGCAAGCGUUAAUCGGAAUUACUGGGCGUAAAGCGCACGCGGGCGGUCUGUCAAGUCGGAUGUGAAAUCCCCGGGCUCAACCUGGGAACUGCAUCUGAUACUGGCAAGCUUGAGUCUCGUAGAGGGGGGUAGAAUUCCAGGUGUAGCGGUGAAAUGCGUAGAGAUCUGGAGGAAUACCGGUGGCGAAGGCGGCCCCCUGGACGAAGACUGACGCUCAGGUGCGAAAGCGUGGGGAGCAAACAGGAUUAGAUACCCCCGUAGUC